GACGAACGCGGCGGCGUGCCUAAUACAUGCAAGUCGAACGCUUCUUUCCUCCCGAGUGCUUGCGCUCAAUUGGAAAGAGGAGUGGCGGACGGGUGAGUAACACGUGGGUAACCUACCCAUCAGAGGGGGAUAACACUUGGAAACAGGUGCUAAUACCGCAUAACAGUUUAUGCCGCAUGGCAUAAGAGUGAAAAGGCGCUUUUCGGGUGUCGCUGAUGGAUGGACCCGCGGUGCAUUAGCUAGUUGGUGAGGUAACGGCUCACCAAGGCCACGAUGCAUAGCCGACCUGAGAGGGUGAUCGGCCACACUGGGACUGAGACACGGCCCAGACUCCUACGGGAGGCAGCAGUAGGGAAUUCUUUCGGCAAUGGACGAAAGUUUGACCGAG
Molecule: ribosomal RNA, 388 nt
Filed under: Enterococcus faecalis
Lineage: Bacteria; Bacillati; Bacillota; Bacilli; Lactobacillales; Enterococcaceae
Description: bacterial SSU rRNA
Rfam family: Bacterial small subunit ribosomal RNA
Source: RNAcentral